UUGCCAAUGCCGCGAAAACCUAUAGGGUCACACACAAAGGACGGAUUGAUGAGAGAUAGAGUAACUAAGGAACACCGUAAGGUACCUGUCAACACAGACUUGACACACACACUUGCAGCAUAAUGUACUUUCAACAGACAAAUUAAAUCUAAACUAUAAAAGUAAAAAUAACACAACAAUCAAAUACUAAUAAAAUACAUAAAAU
This 205-nucleotide long non-coding RNA is filed under the name Lathyrus oleraceus (garden pea). RNAcentral's name for it is "Pisum sativum (pea) long non-coding RNA (PSAT_LNC014293)". Lineage: Eukaryota; Viridiplantae; Streptophyta; Magnoliopsida; Fabales; Fabaceae. The record is from RNAcentral.